RNAcentral lists this ribosomal RNA (462 nucleotides) under uncultured bacterium. RNAcentral's name for it is "partial 16S ribosomal RNA". It matches the Rfam family "Bacterial small subunit ribosomal RNA", at positions 28 to 507 of the family's 1533-position model. The record is from RNAcentral.
GACGAACGCUGGCGGCGUGCUUAACACAUGCAAGUCGAACGGAAAGGCCCUUCGGGGUACUCGAGUGGCGAACAGGUGAGUAACACGUGGGUGAUCUGCCCUGCACUUUGGGAUAAGCCUGGGAAACUGGGUCUAAUACCGAAUAUGAUCAUCGGCUUCAUGGUCGGUGGUGGAAAGCUUUUGCGGUGUGGGAUGGGCCCGCGGCCUAUCAGCUUGUUGGUGGGGUAAUGGCCUACCAAGGCGACGACGGGUAGCCGGCCUGAGAGGGUGACCGGCCACACUGGGACUGAGAUACGGCCCAGACUCCUACGGGAGGCAGCAGUGGGGAAUAUUGCACAAUGGGCGCAAGCCUGAUGCAGCGACGCCGCGUGAGGGAUGACGGCCUUCGGGUUGUAAACCUCUUUCAGCACAGACGAAGCGCAAGUGACGGUAUGUGCAGAAGAAGGACCGGCCAACUACGUG